Molecule: ribosomal RNA, 484 nt
Filed under: uncultured bacterium
Lineage: Bacteria
Description: partial 16S ribosomal RNA
Rfam family: Bacterial small subunit ribosomal RNA
Source: RNAcentral
AUUGAACGCUGGCGGCAUGCUUUACACAUGCAAGUCGAACGGCAGCGCGGGCUUCGGCCUGGCGGCGAGUGGCGAACGGGUGAGUAAUGCAUCGGAACGUGCCCAGUAGUGGGGGAUAGCCCGGCGAAAGCCGGAUUAAUACCGCAUACGACCUGAGGGUGAAAGCGGGGGACCGAAAGGCCUCGCGCUAUUGGAGCGGCCGAUGUCGGAUUAGCUAGUUGGUGGGGUAAAGGCUUACCAAGGCGACGAUCCGUAGCUGGUCUGAGAGGACGACCAGCCACACUGGGACUGAGACACGGCCCAGACUCCUACGGGAGGCAGCAGUGGGGAAUUUUGGACAAUGGGGGCUACCCUGAUCCAGCCAUGCCGCGUGCGGGAAGAAGGCCUUCGGGUUGUAAACCGCUUUUGUUCGGGAAGAAAUCCUCUGGGCUAAUACCCCGGGGGGAUGACGGUACCGGAAGAAUAAGCACCGGCUAACUACGUG